UCCGGCUUAACGCCGGCAGUCUCCCUAGAGUGCCCAACUGAAUGGUGGCAACUAAGGACGAGGGUUGCGCUCGUUGCGGGACUUAACCCAACACCUCACGGCACGAGCUGGCGACAGCCAUGCAGCACCUGUGCAGGGACUCCGAAGAGGGGACUCGGUUUCUCGAGCCUUUCCCCUGCAUGUCAAGCCCAGGUAAGGUUCUUCGCGUCGCAUCGAAUUAAGCAACAUGCUCCGCCGCUUGUGCGGGCCCCCGUCAAUUCCUUUGAGUUUUAGCCUUGCGGCCGUACUCCCCAGGCGGGGUGCUUAAUGCGUUAGCUUCGGCACGGAACGGGUUGAAGGCCGCCCCACACCUAGCACCCAACGUUUACGGCUGGGACUAC
RNAcentral lists this unclassified non-coding RNA (380 nucleotides) under uncultured bacterium. RNAcentral describes it as "contains 16S-23S intergenic spacer region". The record is from RNAcentral.